GAUGAUGUUGUGGUGCAGAAGGACGUGACUGGGUUGUGGAAGAUUAAUUUAGAUGGGAAGGUGAAUGGAGCUGUUGAGACGUGCUUUGGCUCUUUUCAUCGAUAUGGUCAAUACCUAAACUUCACUCAUCCUCUGAUCAAAGAGAGCUUUAAUUAGAGUCUGCUAAGUUGCAGAAGUUUUACUUUGAGAACCAGGCGGAGAACUCGACUAGAGAUGAACAUAACAUCAAGUUCAAGAACCCCAAGUAUCUCUCGGUGUUGAACCAUCUGAGAUUCUACUUACCGGAGAUGUAUCCGAAGCUGAAUAAGAUCUUGUUCUUGGACGAUGAUGUUGUGGUGCAGAAGGACGUGACUGGGUUGUGGAAGAUUAAUUUAGAUGGGAAGGUGAAUGGAGCUGUUGAGACGUGCUUUGGCUCUUUUCAUCGAUAUGGUCAAUACCUAAACUUCACUCAUCCUCUGAUCAAAGAGAGCUUUAACCCCAAUGCUUGUGCUUGGGCCUUUGGGAUGAAUAUAUUUGAUCUCAAUGCUUGGAGGCGUGAGAAAUGCACUGAUCAAUACCAUUA
This 562-nucleotide long non-coding RNA is filed under the name Brassica napus (rape). Its description in RNAcentral is "long non-coding RNA (BNAP_LNC002472)". The record is from RNAcentral. Lineage: Eukaryota; Viridiplantae; Streptophyta; Magnoliopsida; Brassicales; Brassicaceae.